GCAGCCGCGGUAAUACGUAGGUGGCAAGCGUUGUCCGGAUUUACUGGGUGUAAAGGGAGCGCAGGCGGGACGGCAAGUUGGAUGUGAAAAACUGAGGCUCAACCUCAGUCCUGCAUCCAAAACUGUUGUUCUUGAGUGGAGCAGAGGUAAGCGGAAUUCCGAGUGUAGCGGUGAAAUGCGUAGAUAUUCGGAGGAACACCAGUGGCGAAGGCGGCUUACUGGACUCUAACUGACGCUGAGGCUCGAAAGCGUGGGGAGCAAACAGGAUUAGAUACCCC
Molecule: ribosomal RNA, 278 nt
Filed under: uncultured Eubacterium sp.
Lineage: Bacteria; Bacillati; Bacillota; Clostridia; Eubacteriales; Eubacteriaceae
Description: partial 16S ribosomal RNA
Rfam family: Bacterial small subunit ribosomal RNA
Source: RNAcentral